This 492-nucleotide ribosomal RNA is filed under the name uncultured bacterium. Its description in RNAcentral is "partial 16S ribosomal RNA". It matches the Rfam family "Bacterial small subunit ribosomal RNA", at positions 29 to 507 of the family's 1533-position model. The record is from RNAcentral.
AGUGAACGCCGGCGGUAGGCCUAACACAUGCAAGUCGAACGGCAGCACAGUAAGAGCUUGCUCUUACGGGUGGCGAGUGGCGGACGGGUGAGGAAUACAUCGGAAUCUACUUUUUCGUGGGGGAUAACGUAGGGAAACUUACGCUAAUACCGCAUACGACCUACGGGUGAAAGCAGGGGAUCUUCGGACCUUGCGCGAUUGAAUGAGCCGAUGUCGGAUUAGCUAGUUGGCGGGGUAAAGGCCCACCAAGGCGACGAUCCGUAGCUGGUCUGAGAGGAUGAUCAGCCACACUGGAACUGAGACACGGUCCAGACUCCUACGGGAGGCAGCAGUGGGGAAUAUUGGACAAUGGGCGCAAGCCUGAUCCAGCCAUACCGCGUGGGUGAAGAAGGCCUUCGGGUUGUAAAGCCCUUUUGUUAGGAAAGAAAAGCAGCAGGUUAAUACCCCGCUGUUCUGACGGUACCCAAAGAAUAAGCACCGGCUAACUUCGUG